AGAGCGAACGCUGGCGGCAGGCCUAACACAUGCAAGUCGAGCGCCCGUAGCAAUACGGGAGCGGCAGACGGGAUAGUAACACGUGGGAACGCGCCCUUCGGUUCGGAAUAACUCAGGGAAACUUGAGCUAAUACCGGAUACGCCCUUACGGGGAAAGAUUUAUUGCCGAAGGAACGGCCCGCGUCCGAUUAGCUAGUUGGUGAGGUAAUGGCUCACCAAGGCGACGAUCGGUAGCUGGUCUGAGAGGAUGACCAGCAUCACUGGGACUGAGACACGGCCCAGACUCCUACGGGAGGCAGCAGUGGGGAAUAUUGGACAAUGGGCGCGAAGCCUGAUCCAGCCAUGCCGCGUGGAUGAUGAAGGCCUUAGGGUUGUAAAGUCCUUUUAACGGGGAAGAUAAUGACGGUACCCGUAGAAUAAGCCCCGGCUAACUUCGUGCCAGCAGCCGC
Molecule: ribosomal RNA, 449 nt
Filed under: uncultured bacterium
Lineage: Bacteria
Description: SSU rRNA
Rfam family: Bacterial small subunit ribosomal RNA
Source: RNAcentral